CAUAGUAGGGGCUCGUUUCCCGAGGUUUGAAAAACCUCUCCUAAUUAUCCGUGGUUUCAUUACAGAAACGCAUUUCAAUUUAAUUUAUUUUUUUUAAAUAUAAUUCUAAGGGUUUCUUUGUGAAACUGCCGAAAUGUCGCGCCUUUGCACCUCCGGUGCUUUGUUUUUCACUUCAUCAGAGCUUCGAGUAUUAUUGACUUUCUUCACUACUCCGUUUCCAUCUUCACCUCCGCCUCUCGACUUCUUCAUCUUCAGCUUUCGCGUCUCAAUUUCUCCAUCUUCGUAACCCUUUGUCACUUCGCAGUCAUGGUUUCCUUGCCUUCUCCUCCUCCAAAUCCUUAAUUUCGAAAACCUGAAGCUCACCGACCUUGUGAUUGACUUUUUGAGGAGCUCUCGGAUGGCGUUUUUAAGGAGCUUGUGAUUCGCACAGCCUUCGUGUCUUGCCAUUUCCAUCUCCCAACCUUCGUGUCUCACCGUUUCCAUUUUCACCGCCUUCACGUCUCGACUUCUCCAUUCUCACAGUCCUUCUUCACUUCGCAAUUCCUAAUUCCCUUGUCUUUCCCUGCUUCAAAUCCCUAAUUCUGAAAACCCAAGCAUCAUUAGGAGCUCGCCGAUGUUGCGAUUGGCGUUUUUGAGGAGCUUGCGAGUUGCACAAGGUGGAAUCAGACGUUGACUGGAGCCACCUCCUUCUUCACGGCCUCCUUGACGGUGUUAACAACUUCUUCAGAGGGGAGAUUCCUCAAUCUUUGGGACACCUGAGAAGCCUCCAAUACUUGAGGCUCAAUAAUAACACUCUUGUUGGUGAAUGCCCAAAGUCUCUGGCUAACAUGACCCAACACAAUUUUCUGUAAUACACUUAUGAACUCUUCUGUUUUAUACUUGUAUCUCAUGCAUAAUUUCAGUUUAUAUUUCUAGUUUGGAGGUGUUAUUUGGUGGAGACACAAGCACAAUCAACAAGCAUUCUGAAAUAUACAUGAAUGGGAUCAACAAGCAUAAUUUCAGUUUAUAUUUCUAGUUUAAAGAAGUCUACCUUGGAAACUUGAAGAGGUUUCAAUUCAGAGAACUCCGGAUUUCUACUCACAACUUCAGCAGCAAAAACAUAUUAGGAAAAGGUGGUUUUGGAAAUGUCUACAAAGGAGUUCUCCCUGAUGGUACUCUUGUAGCUGUCAAGAGGCUUAAAGAUGGCAAUACCGUUAGUGGAGAGAUUCAAUUUCAGACGAAGUUGAAAUGAUCAGCUUGGCAGUUCUUCUGUUUCUGAAGAGGCAGAGCCAAGUCCCUUUGUUGGUCAGUGGCAAGGUAAAUUUGUUUCUUUCAUGCGAUCCAACGAGCAUGGAAACCAUGAAACACAAGAAAUGGGACACUUCAGGUCUUCAUGGCUUGCCUCUCAAAUUUGUUCAAGUUGACCAAAAUGCCAGGAAUUGGUGGAGAAAGCUUGAUAUCUUACGUGAUAUUAUAGCUGAAGGUCUGCAAGGGGAAGAUCGGUUGGAGGCUCUCUUGUACUCAGCUAUCUAUCUCAAGUGGAUAAACACGGGGCAAAUAUCUUGUUUUGAAGAUGGAGGUCACCACCGCCCCAAUAGGCAUGCUAAGAUUUCAAGGCUUAUAUUUCGUGAACUAGAGCAACACACUACUCGGAAGGAUAUAUCUCCACAUGUGAUCUAUUAUUAGUUUUGACAGUGGAUCAUGUGGUCCUGAUUGCAUUAUCGAGGUUGCUGAUGUUUAACAAAAGUUAUAUGAGGCCACGUCCUUUAAAAUGUCUGACAUACAUUCAAUGUUAAACGUCCGGGAAUUGAAAAUUAUUGUUUGCACUGCACUCACCCCAUCUAUGGUUCAAGCGGUUUGUGACUCAUUCCCAUCACUCCACACAUGCUCAGGGAGGCACUCACUCAUAAUGACAUGGAAUUUUUUAAUUUGUAUGUAUGCUUUUAUGGCAAGAGUAUAACACAUCUUAUUUCAUGAUGUUGUUAAAUUCGUGGAAUUUUAACUUGUGAAUUUUUUUUUUCAUUAAGUAUUUUUGGAGAAAUUAAGAAAAAAAAUUCGGAUUAACUUGGAAAUUACCUCUGGGACAAAGCAUGGAUGACUACUUGGUCUUUUGGAUUGGACUUGAUGAUUCAGCUUUUGCUAAUGUUGUGCUCAUAUUCAAUACUUGUGAAAUAGGUUGACAGUUUCCCGUCCUUUAAUUUCUCCAUUUAAUUUAUGUUUUCCUUUACAUUGUAUUUCUAUCAUGAAAUGACCCUAGGAAAGCUAUUGGUAAACAUGUGUCAUGUAUUGUACGACAUCUCUAACAAAAAGUCAGAUAUAAUGCAAAUGAAAAUCAAACGGUGACAAACUUGUUUCAACAAAGGAGGAUUCUUAAACAUAGCUGAAUUCAUUACAAUAUAGAAGGAUGUGCAGCUGUGUUAAGUGUGCAUCAAUUUGAAGUUCUUGAUUGUUGGGAACAACAUGCUCGUGUUUACUAUGAACUAUAUGUAUCAAAAUCAACAUUGUUAAUGAACAUCUUUCUCAGUCAUAUUUUUAGUAUUUUAAUUUAGUAUUAAACAUUUUUUUUUAAUUUUUAUAUAUAAAUAAUUAGAUGUAUGAAUUAUAUUAA
Molecule: RNA transcript, 2587 nt
Organism: Vigna angularis (adzuki bean)
Lineage: Eukaryota; Viridiplantae; Streptophyta; Magnoliopsida; Fabales; Fabaceae
Gene name: phosphoglucan, water dikinase, chloroplastic
Exons: 8
Source: RefSeq, a predicted model, not a curated record